This 401-nucleotide unclassified non-coding RNA is filed under the name soil metagenome. RNAcentral describes it as "partial contains 5.8S ribosomal RNA, internal transcribed spacer 2, and large subunit ribosomal RNA". The stretch from base 1 to 121 matches the Rfam family "5.8S ribosomal RNA", at positions 35 to 154 of the family's 154-position model. The record is from RNAcentral.
GAUGAAGAACGUAGCGAAAUGCGAUAAGUAAUGUGAAUUGCAGAAUUCAGUGAAUCAUCGAAUCUUUGAACGCACCUUGCGCCCUUUGGCCAUUCCGAAGGGCAUGCCUGUUUGGGUAUCAUGAACACCUCAACUCUCAUGGCUCGCCAUGAUGAGCUUGGAUUUGGGGGUCUUGCUGGCCUGUGGUCGGCUCCUCUCAAAUGGAUCAGCUUGCCAGUGUUUGGUGGCAUCACAGGUGUGAUAACUAUCUGCGCUUGUGGUUUUCCAUCAGAUAACCUUCAGUGAUGGAGGUUCGCUGGAGCUCAUAAACGUCUCCCCUAAGCGGGGACAGCCCUUUGAAUGUUUGAUCUCAAAUCAGGUAGGACUACCCGCUGAACUUAAGCAUAUCAAUAAGCGGAGGA